This 253-nucleotide ribosomal RNA is filed under the name uncultured bacterium. Its description in RNAcentral is "partial 16S ribosomal RNA". It matches the Rfam family "Bacterial small subunit ribosomal RNA", at positions 524 to 776 of the family's 1533-position model. The record is from RNAcentral.
UACGAAGGGGGCGAGCGUUGUUCGGAUUUACUGGGCGUAAAGGGCGCGCAGGCGGCCAUUCAAGUCAGGCGUGAAAGCCCCGGGCUUAACCUGGGAGGUGCGCUUGGGACUGGGUGGCUAGAGAUCGGGAGAGGAGAGUGGAAUUGCGAGUGUAGAGGUGAAAUUCGUAGAUAUUCGCAAGAACACCGGUGGCGAAGGCGGCCAACUGGUCCGGAUCUGACGCUGAGGCGCGAAAGCGUGGGGAGCAAACAGG